This 145-nucleotide small nucleolar RNA is filed under the name Chlamydomonas reinhardtii. RNAcentral's name for it is "CrACA19 snoRNA". The record is from RNAcentral. Lineage: Eukaryota; Viridiplantae; Chlorophyta; Chlorophyceae; Chlamydomonadales; Chlamydomonadaceae.
CGUCCAGUGUUACCCAGCCGUAGGCAAUCCCACCAGCGGCGACAGGGUGUCAAGGGCGGCCGAAAGUAUAGGCGGGCAAAUCAAGCCGCCGGGGGAGGGCUCACGCCCAAUCUAUGACGCCGGCGGAGACACGCUCUCCACACCU